RNAcentral lists this ribosomal RNA (466 nucleotides) under uncultured bacterium. RNAcentral's name for it is "partial 16S ribosomal RNA". It matches the Rfam family "Bacterial small subunit ribosomal RNA", at positions 28 to 507 of the family's 1533-position model. The record is from RNAcentral.
GAUGAACGCUGGCGGCGUGCUUAACACAUGCAAGUCGAACGAUGAAGCCCAGCUUGCUGGGUGGAUUAGUGGCGAACGGGUGAGUAACACGUGAGUAACCUGCCCUUGACUCUGGAAUAAGCCUGGGAAACUGGGUCUAAUACUGGAUAUGACUUCUCAUCGCAUGGUGGGGGGUGGAAAGAUUUAUUGGUCUUGGAUGGACUCGCGGCCUAUCAGCUUGUUGGUGAGGUAAUGGCUCACCAAGGCGACGACGGGUAGCCGGCCUGAGAGGGUGACCGGCCACACUGGGACUGAGACACGGCCCAGACGCCUACGGGAGGCAGCAGUGGGGAAUAUUGCACAAUGGGCGCAAGCCUGAUGCAGCGACGCCGCGUGAGGGAGGACGGCCUUCGGGUUGGAAACCUCUGUCAGUAGGGAAGAAGCGAGAGUGACGGUACCUGCAGAAGAAGCGCCGGCUAACUACGUG